AAGUCGUAAACAAGGUUUCCGUAGGUGAACCUGCGGAAGGAUCAUUAACACGUAUCCAACGUUAAAAACACCCUGUGAACCCGUUAACCUUGCUCCUCGUGAGCAAUCCCUGGUAAAUCAUUGUCUGACCAGAUUUUGAGUCAGGGACUUCUGACGUGACGCGAAGAAUGUUUUAAAUAACAUCUGAGCGGGAUGAUGCGAUUGCGCGCAAGACACUUGUGCCCCCAAGCAACCAUGUUCUGAAAGCGUCAUGGAAGAGUAAGGGUGACGUUGUAACGUUUGAUGUAGGCCCACACGGCCGGCAACAAGUCGCCUGAACCCCGACUCAGGUUCCUUUCACAACGUCUUACUUCGCGAGGACUGAAAGCCUCGCACCAAAAACCGAACAACUGUUAACAAUGGAUAUCUUGGUUCUCGC
Molecule: unclassified non-coding RNA, 418 nt
Filed under: fungal sp.
Lineage: Eukaryota; Fungi
Description: partial internal transcribed spacer region
Rfam family: Eukaryotic small subunit ribosomal RNA (bases 1-47)
Source: RNAcentral